Long non-coding RNA from Cavia porcellus (domestic guinea pig), 1065 nucleotides. RefSeq lists it as uncharacterized. The transcript is spliced from 6 exons. NCBI's taxonomy places the organism in Eukaryota, Metazoa, Chordata, Mammalia, Rodentia, Caviidae. The record is from RefSeq and is a predicted model, not a curated record.
GUCUUCAGGGAUGAGGACAGGGAAAACAGCAAGCGGUUCUGUCUCUUUCCUCCUGCUCCAGCUCUGCCUUGGCUGCUGUAGACCUUGGACUACUUUGCACAGUCCUGACAAGGUUCAUUCGACAAUGUUUGCUUAGGCUUUUUGGAUACUUCUGUGGAAGGACAUACUGCUGGAACUACCUGCUCUGUUAUUUUUGCUAGUACAAUUGAGAACUACGGUUAGGAUUAAAGGUGUAUUAACUCAGUCAGUCCUGGUAGCCUAGACAGAGUAUAAAAGGAGCAGAGAGACACUGUUAAGGGCCUCACUGCUUCUGCUGUCUUCUGCCUACCAGGAACUGUUCUCCUCUGCAAUGCCAGCCUGCCUUGGAGCCACCUGAUUAUGGACUGAAACCUCCACAAAAUACAUUUCAACAUGUAUUUGUUGACUGGCAGACUCAACAGGACAUACGGUGAAGCAUGAAAGUUCAGGGAGGAAGCCGGGGAUUCAGCUCAGCGGCAUAAGCGCCUGCCUUGCAAGUGCACAGUGUCUGCUAUAGGGGUGCCAAUCCUGCCAACACCUGCACCUGUCCAAUUUCAAGUCACAAUGCUUCAACUGCUGCGAUUACAAAAACAGAAAGAGGGAGACGUUGGAGAUCAGCUUUUGCUGUAACUCACUUUAGGAGAUUGGAGGCCAGGCCAAAUCCCCAAUAAAGCAGUGACUUUCAUCCUUCAGAAGGGAUAAUGCUGUCAGUUUGUUCCUCUAAAGAGAUCUGUUUGCUUCUGAGAGGAGCCAGGAGACCCGACUAACCUCUGGCUAUUUGGGAGAAUGAGAUUUUGACAUUUUCCAGAUACAGCAGACUUCAGAGAAAGAAAAGCUCUCAGCAAUAGUGACAUCUCAAAAUGACAACAGAGCCAGUUCUCCAAGAAUAUGUGCCAGCUUUUAAUGUGCUUGUCUUGACUGAAUGGAUGUCAAAAUGCAUCAGGCAAGAACUAACAGUCCUUUUACACUUAUAUUAGAGAGAAAUAAAAAAUUCGCUCCAACAGAGUAAACUUUUAUUUUCUUAUGUUUUCCCAUAAGUCUUACAAA